AGAACGAACGCUGGCGGCAGGCUUAACACAUGCAAGUCGAGCGCCUCGCAAGAGGAGCGGCAGACGGGUGAGUAACGCGUGGGAACAUACCCUUCGGUUCGGAAUAAUUCAGGGAAACUUGGACUAAUACCGGAUACGGACGAGAGUCGAAAGAUUUAUCGCCGAAGGAUUGGCCCGCGUUCGAUUAGCUAGUUGGUGUGGUAACGGCGCACCAAGGCGACGAUCGAUAGCUGGUCUGAGAGGAUGAUCAGCCACAUUGGGACUGAGACACGGCCCAAACUCCUACGGGAGGCAGCAGUGGGGAAUAUUGGACAAUGGGCGCAAGCCUGAUCCAGCCAUGCCGCGUGAGUGAUGACGGCCUUAGGGUUGUAAAGCUCUUUCGCUAGGGACGAUAAUGACGGUACCUAGACAAGAACGCCCGGACUAACGUUCGUGCCAGCAGCCGC
This 446-nucleotide ribosomal RNA is filed under the name uncultured bacterium. RNAcentral's name for it is "SSU rRNA". It matches the Rfam family "Bacterial small subunit ribosomal RNA", at positions 26 to 518 of the family's 1533-position model. The record is from RNAcentral.